Molecule: unclassified non-coding RNA, 23 nt
Filed under: synthetic construct
Source: RNAcentral
ACAUGUUUUCUGUGAAAACGGAG